UAGAAGACCCAUAAUGAAAUCGGCAAUCUUCGACAAUUACCGCCAUAUCUCGCCAUUUAUCGUAACGAACUUCGUUUGUUUACGUAUAAAGUCGGAAUUCUAAUAAUAGCGAAUAUCCCCGGUCACGUGGUAGUAUUCCCCAAGAAAAUGACGUAAUUUCCGCAGAUAUCUAACAUGGCGUCUUACAGCGUGACACGCUCGGUCGAUUCAAAAAAAGUGUAAAAAGAUGCAGAAAACUCAAGUAUUCCGACUUUAUUAUAGAACAUAACAAUAGUGCAGGUAACCAGUAUUACGUGUCAACCAAACCAGCUCUACAAGACAUCAACUCUUCCUAAAUCGGUUGAUAAUGAGGGUUGGAAAGAGGGAAGAAGAAUCGUUGAGUUUGGCGUGUUACGGUCAAACCUAAGAUUUUGUAAAAAAUGUAGACUUGGACCAGUUGGCUACCAUUAACAGUACUGAUUAACUUUUGACAACAUGUUAGGUGAAUUUAAACAGGGAGUGUCUGGUUAUUUGUAUGUGAAAUGUCGAAACACAGAAUGCGGUCAUGUGAAUUGUGUUCCCUAUGGAAAAACACACAGACUCUAGUAGAUUGAAGACCUGUGAAAGUUGGAAUGCCAUGUUUCGUUGUCAACACAAAAUUAGGAACAGCAAUGAUUGAUAGUGUAGGUGGGCCGGUGAGGGUCAACAAUUUGUUGUCAACACUAAAUAUACCAACAAUUGGAAAUAAAAACAUGAAAAGAAAUGGAGAUACGUGUUGGAAAUAUCAUUGAGACAGCACUGGCUUCUAUGCCGACAGAAUCUGCUGCAUAAGAUCAAGGAAAUGGAGGAUGUGCAUCAUGAAGAAUCAAUGGUAUCAGAACACAACAUCAUGGAAGAUCUUAUUGACAAGAUCUCGGAGGAUGUCCUUUGCCAGAUGUUUGCCAGCACUAAAGUCUAUUCAUCAGUCAGAUGCUACAGUUACAAAUGACAGUGAAUGGUCAGAUUUAUACAAUUGUGAUUAACAAUCCUCAACAAUACAUCAAACAAAAAUGCCUAUUAAACUUUCUCACAGACAGUCAUAGGUUGAAAACAAAUCAGAAGUGGUCCACAUCUUAAAAAACCUCACAGCAGAUUAAGACUUUCCCCGAAAUUUCCCUGUAAAACCCGCAGUGGUAUGUCCAGUGCAGUAGAUACUGCCUGGCACAAAAGAGGAUUUGACAGUUUAACAUUGUACUGCACCAAUAAACUAAAUAUGGAGAGAAGCUUAGUCACCAAAGCAGUCAACACCAAAAUACACACAAUGGCCAGGGCACUGAAACUUGGAAGAGUGAAAGAGUAAAGUAGUGCGUUUUUAGCUAACAAAGUGACAUUGCGAGCU
Long non-coding RNA from Ruditapes philippinarum (Manila clam), 1357 nucleotides. RefSeq lists it as uncharacterized. NCBI's taxonomy places the organism in Eukaryota, Metazoa, Mollusca, Bivalvia, Venerida, Veneridae. The transcript has 6 exons. The record is from RefSeq and is a predicted model, not a curated record.